GAAUAAGCACCGGCUAACUACGUGCCAGCAGCCGCGGUAAUACGUAGGGUGCGAGCGUUAAUCGGAAUUACUGGGCGUAAAGCGUGCGCAGGCGGUUUGUUAAGACCGAUGUGAAAUCCCCGGGCUCAACCUGGGAACUGCAUUGGUGACUGGCAAGCUAGAGUAUGGCAGAGGGGGGUAGAAUUCCACGUGUAGCAGUGAAAUGCGUAGAGAUGUGGAGGAAUACCGAUGGCGAAG
This 237-nucleotide ribosomal RNA is filed under the name Escherichia coli. RNAcentral describes it as "partial 16S ribosomal RNA". It matches the Rfam family "Bacterial small subunit ribosomal RNA", at positions 484 to 720 of the family's 1533-position model. Lineage: Bacteria; Pseudomonadati; Pseudomonadota; Gammaproteobacteria; Enterobacterales; Enterobacteriaceae. The record is from RNAcentral.